This 261-nucleotide ribosomal RNA is filed under the name uncultured prokaryote. RNAcentral describes it as "partial 16S ribosomal RNA". It matches the Rfam family "Bacterial small subunit ribosomal RNA", at positions 524 to 784 of the family's 1533-position model. The record is from RNAcentral.
UACGUAGGGGGCAAGCGUUAUCCGGAUUUACUGGGUGUAAAGGGAGCGCAGACGGAACUGCAAGUCUGAUGUGAAAGCCCGGGGCUCAACCGCGGGACUGCAUCGGAUACUGUGGAUCUGGAGUGCCGGAGGGGCAAGCGGAAUUCCUGGUGUAGCGGUGAAAUGCGUAGAUAUCAGGAGGAACACCGGCGGCGAAGGCGGCUUGCUGGACUGCAACUGACGUUGAGGCUCGAAAGCGUGGGGAGCAAACAGGAUUAGAUA